Molecule: unclassified non-coding RNA, 337 nt
Filed under: uncultured fungus
Lineage: Eukaryota; Fungi
Description: partial contains 5.8S ribosomal RNA and internal transcribed spacer 2
Rfam family: 5.8S ribosomal RNA (bases 1-133)
Source: RNAcentral
UGGUUCUGGCAUCGAUGAAGAACGCAGCGAAAUGCGAUAAGUAGUGUGAAUUGCAGAAUUUAGUGAAUCAUCGAAUCUUUGAACGCACAUUGCGCCCGUUAGCAUUCUAGCGGGCAUGCCUGUUCGAGCGUCAUUUCAACCCUCAGGCCCUGGCUGCCUGGCGUUGGAGCGCUAGCACGCUGCGUGCUAGGCUCCGAAAAGCAGUGGCGGGCCCGUGAGGCACCCCGAACGUAGUGAACUAUGCUUUUCGUUCAGGGGCGUGCCGCGGCGCACAGCCGUAAAAAAAACCACACAUUUUCAAAAGGUUGACCUCGGAUCAGGUAGGAAUACCCGCUGA